CUAAUCUUUAAAAGUAACCUAACAAAAACUGCUGGCAUAACUCUUAACUUCUAACCCUAAAUCUAUCCUAACCAAAGCCCUACCACUAAACCUUUCCGUAGCCUUCACAAUUACUCAAACCCUAGCCCAGAAAUCUAAUACUAAUCCCCAAACUAACCUUAAUUGUAAAACAUAAGCUCUACACCAGGACCUAACCCCCUAUACCUACCCCUACCCCUAAAUCAUAACGCUUUGUCUAACACUGAACCCUAACCCUAAACCCUAACCUUGAACCCUAAAUCCUAACCUGGAAUCUAAUCACUAAAAUAAACUCUGACCCUCACAACAAAAUUUAAACCUAACUUCUAAUCCUAAACCCUAAUGUCUAAACCUAACCCAAAGUAAGAGUGGCAGGGUUCAUCAGUUACCUGGGGUGCCAGCUAAGUCCUGGUCUGCCCAGGAAGAUUCAGCCAAGUGUUUUUGUGUCACUCUGUCAGGUUGUGUACUGAGUGUGAGUUGGGGGAAAUCAGCAGCCCAGGGGCUAUUUUACGUCCAGUGCAGGAAAAGUUCAGUUGAAAAGAUCACAGUAGAUGACCUCACUUCCUUAUGAUGACACUUUGCUCAGAACCCUGUUGCCAAGCAACACAUAGCACCACUAACUGAUGCCUGCUCACUUGUCUGGAGAUAUAGGACAUGUGAGGAUGUUUUCUUGCUGUCUCCCUACUUCCCAAGGCUCAAGCCUCAGGAGAUCUCUCAGGAGAGGAGUCAGCCGCAUCUGGAGAAACUGGGUCCCACGUCUCACAUGAUGCCUGUGGCCAUUUUCUCAGAGGAGUCAAAGUGGGAAACACAGUAGCCGAGGGCAGGUACUGUUUGACUAGUGACGGCUGGCACCGUCACAAGUGGCGCCCGAACAGGGACCUGAGCAUGGAGGACAAGGUGAAGGACGCCACCAGAUUGUGAGCUCGGAUAAACUGCUUCACGACUGUUAGGAGACCCUGAUGCCGGACUGCUGCUGGUCAAACAGCUUGCCUAUGAAAAUGCUAACUCCCCCUGCCAGGCUGCUAUUCGUCCUUUCAGAAAAAAAAGGGGACCUAGAAUGAAGACAGUGUGCGAUGGUUGCCGGAAUGGCUCGUGCACCAGGUGGAUGUCUCUUCAACAGAAUCUCUUCCUCCUCAUAAUGAUGGCCACAAUGACCAGAUGUGAGAUGUUCUGGGCUUAUGUCCCUGACCCUCCGCUUCUCUAUCCUGUUACCUGGGAAGACCCACCAAUUUCUGUGUACUGUUCGACUAGUGACGGCUGGCACCGUCACAAUGAACAAAUCUUCAGUAGCACGGGAGCUAGCACAAAGAAUCAACAACUGGGAUCUCAUCUUAUUAAAAAGUUUCUGGACUGCAAGAGAAACCACCAACAGAGCUAAGAGACAACCUACAAUGUAGGAAAAAAUUUUUAGCAGCUGUACCUCAGAGAAAGAUCUACUAUCAAGAAUAUAUAAAGAAUGUACAUGAAAAUCACUCUAAGCCAUGCUGAAGGAUUUGAUUGUGGAGGUCACAGUGCUCAUGGUGGUGUUGAUGCCACAUGGGACGUGUGUGUCCCUAAUGAGGCCAGAUGUAAACUUCACUUCCCAUAAAGAACACCCUCUGAACAUCUCCUAUGAUUGCAUAAAGGAAAUCUUUCCCUUGCAGUCUGGGUCUAAAUUUUAGUUUCUUUUUCUUUCUUACAAACCCACCACUCAGGGAUUUGCUGCUUUACUGUUGUCUUUCCCAAGCCCUGGGUUUUGGGGAGAACAUUGUCUUCCUGUCUGUGCGGUUUUCAUUCCUGCCUCUUGGGUUGGUGACUCUCCAAUCCCACUGUGCUGUAGAGAAAACUGCUGUAGAUGUAGGUGCUCCUGGAUGAUUCAAUACUAGCACUGAGGGAC
RNAcentral lists this long non-coding RNA (1894 nucleotides) under Heterocephalus glaber (naked mole-rat). RNAcentral's name for it is "lncRNA (ENSHGLG00100049332.1)". Lineage: Eukaryota; Metazoa; Chordata; Mammalia; Rodentia; Bathyergidae. The record is from RNAcentral.